This 467-nucleotide ribosomal RNA is filed under the name uncultured bacterium. RNAcentral describes it as "partial 16S ribosomal RNA". It matches the Rfam family "Bacterial small subunit ribosomal RNA", at positions 29 to 507 of the family's 1533-position model. The record is from RNAcentral.
ACGAACGCUGGCGGCGUGCUUAACACCUGCCAGUCGAGCGGAAAGGCCCUGCUUUUGUGGGGUGCUCGAGUGGCGAACGGGUGAGUAACACGUGAGUAACCUGCCCUUGACUUUGGGAUAACUUCAGGAAACUGGGGCUAAUACCGGAUAGGAGCUCCUGCUGCAUGGUGGGGGUUGGAAAGUUUCGGCGGUUGGGGAUGGACUCGCGGCUUAUCAGCUUGUUGGUGGGGUAGUGGCUUACCAAGGCUUUGACGGGUAGCCGGCCCGAGAGGGUGACCGGCCACAUUGGGACUGAGAUACGGCCCAGACUCCUACGGGAGGCAGCAGUGGGGAAUAUUGCACAAUGGGCGGAAGCCUGAUGCAGCAACGCCGCGUGCGGGAUGACGGCCUUCGGGUUGUAAACCGCUUUCGCCUGUGACGAAGCGUGAGUGACGGUAAUGGGUAAAGAAGCACCGGCUAACUACGUG